AAGUCGUAACAAGGUCUCCGUUGGUGAACCAGCGGAGGGAUCAUUACUGAGUUAUUAAAACUCCAAACCCUUUGUGAACCUUACUGUCGUUGCCUCGGCGUGAGCUACGGCUACCCUGUAGUUACCCUAUAGCUACCCUGCAGCUACCCUAUAGUUGACCAGUAGCUACCCUGUAGUUACCCUAUAGCUACCCUGCAGCUACCCUAUAGUUGACUAGUAGCUACCCUGUAGCCGGCUUAUGGCCCGCCGAAGGACCGCUAAACUCUUGUUUUUUACCACUGUUUCUCUGAAUUGUAAACUUAAAUAAGUUAAAACUUUCAACAACGGAUCUCUUGGUUCUG
This 341-nucleotide unclassified non-coding RNA is filed under the name Hypoxylon investiens. Its description in RNAcentral is "partial internal transcribed spacer region". The stretch from base 1 to 46 matches the Rfam family "Eukaryotic small subunit ribosomal RNA", at positions 1786 to 1831 of the family's 1831-position model. The record is from RNAcentral. Lineage: Eukaryota; Fungi; Ascomycota; Sordariomycetes; Xylariales; Hypoxylaceae.